ACGGGGUGCAGCAGGCGCGAAACCUUCACAAUGUGCGAAAGCGCGAUGAGGGGAUCCCAAGUGCUUGCUCGUAAGAGUAAGCUGUUUUUAUGUCUAAAAAGCAUAGAGAGUAAGGGCUGGGUAAGACGGGUGCCAGCCGCCGCGGUAAUACCUGCAGCUCAAGUAGUGACCGCUAUUAUUGGGCCUAAAACGUUCGUAGCCGGUUUGAUAAAUGCCUGGGUAAAUAGUGUAGCUUAACUAUACGAAUUCCGGGUAGACUGUUAAACUUGAGACCGGGAGAGGCUAGAGGUACUCCUGGGGUAGAGGUGAAAUUCUGUAAUCCUGAGGGGACCACCAGUGGCGAAGGCGUCUAGCUAGAACGGGUCUGACGGUGAGGAACGAAGCCCUGGGGCGCGAACCGGAUUAGAUACCCGGGUAGUCCAGGGUGUAAACGCUGCUUGCUUGAUGUUAGUUGGGCUCCGAGCCCAAUUAGUGUCGGAGAGAAGUUGUUAAGCAAGCUGCCUGGGAAGUACGAUCGCAAGAUUGAAACUUAAAG
Molecule: ribosomal RNA, 535 nt
Filed under: uncultured archaeon
Lineage: Archaea
Description: bacterial SSU rRNA
Rfam family: Archaeal small subunit ribosomal RNA
Source: RNAcentral